UAAAUAUUUCAGCUACAGUAUGUGACAUGGAUGGUGUCAACAGGAGAGUACUUUCCAUCUUGGGGUCAUCUAUGGAGCAUCCAUAUAUAAAUAUAGAAAAUAAAGAAAUUGCAUCAAUUUAUGACACACCACAUUUGCUCAAAUGCUUUAGAAUUAUUAUGUUUCUAAAUAUAACAUUGAAUGCAGUACAGAUAUAAACUCCAGCGUACAGACAGGAAGAGGUAAUGCUAUAUGGGAGCAUAU
Aricia agestis (brown argus) is the source of this 243-nucleotide long non-coding RNA. RefSeq lists it as uncharacterized. The record is from RefSeq and is a predicted model, not a curated record. Lineage: Eukaryota; Metazoa; Arthropoda; Insecta; Lepidoptera; Lycaenidae. The transcript has 3 exons.